RNAcentral lists this transfer RNA (72 nucleotides) under Camelus bactrianus (Bactrian camel). It matches the Rfam family "tRNA". From Rfam's summary of the family: Transfer RNA (tRNA) molecules are approximately 80 nucleotides in length. Their secondary structure includes four short double-helical elements and three loops (D, anti-codon, and T loops). Further hydrogen bonds mediate the characteristic L-shaped molecular structure. tRNAs have two regions of fundamental functional importance: the anti-codon, which is responsible for specific mRNA codon recognition, and the 3' end, to which the tRNAs corresponding amino acid is attached (by aminoacyl-tRNA synthetases). tRNAs cope with the degeneracy of the genetic code in two manners: having more than one tRNA (with a specific anti-codon) for a particular amino acid; and 'wobble' base-pairing, i.e. permitting non-standard base-pairing at the 3rd anti-codon position. RNAcentral also lists the same sequence under 3 other names. Lineage: Eukaryota; Metazoa; Chordata; Mammalia; Artiodactyla; Camelidae. The record is from Rfam by way of RNAcentral.
GAGGGUAUAACUCAGUGGUGAAGAGUAUGCUUAGCAUGCAUGAGGGCCUGGGUUCAAUCCUCAGUAUCUCCA